Molecule: ribosomal RNA, 253 nt
Filed under: uncultured bacterium
Lineage: Bacteria
Description: partial 16S ribosomal RNA
Rfam family: Bacterial small subunit ribosomal RNA
Source: RNAcentral
GACAGAGGGUGCAAACGUUGUUCGGAAUUACUGGGCGUAAAGCGUGUGUAGGCGGUCUGCUAAGUCGGGUGUGAAAGCCCCGGGCUCAACCCGGGAAGUGCACUCGAAACUGGCAGGCUAGAGUAUCGGAGAGGUUGGUGGAAUUCUCGGUGUAGAGGUGAAAUUCGUAGAUAUCGAGAGGAACACCGGUGGCGAAGGCGGCCAACUGGACGAAUACUGACGCUGAGACACGAAAGCGUGGGGAGCAAACAGG